Molecule: unclassified non-coding RNA, 405 nt
Filed under: soil metagenome
Description: partial contains 5.8S ribosomal RNA, internal transcribed spacer 2, and large subunit ribosomal RNA
Rfam family: 5.8S ribosomal RNA (bases 1-121)
Source: RNAcentral
GAUGUAGAACGUAGCGAAAUGCGAUAAGUAAUGUGAAUUGCAGAAUUCAGUGAAUCAUCGAAUCUUUGAACGCACCUUGCGCCCUUUGGCCAUUCCGAAGGGCAUGCCUGUUUGAGUAUCAUGAACACCUCAACUCUUUAUGGUUUUCCAUGAUGAGCUUGGACUCUGGGGGUUUUGCUGGCUCACAGUCGGCUCCUCUAAAAUGAAUCAGCUUACCAGUGUUUGGUGGGUAUCAUGGGUGUGAUAACUAUCUACGCUUGUGGUUUUUCCACCAGGUAACCUUCAGCAGUGGAGGUUCGCUGGAGCUCAUAGAUGUCUCUCCUCAGUGAGGACAGCCCUUUGAAUGUUUGAUCUCAAAUCAGGUAGGACUACCCGCUGAACUUAAGCAUAUCAAUAAGCGGAGGA